This 990-nucleotide long non-coding RNA is filed under the name Homo sapiens (human). RNAcentral describes it as "non-protein coding lnc-METTL2B-3:13". Lineage: Eukaryota; Metazoa; Chordata; Mammalia; Primates; Hominidae. The record is from RNAcentral.
GUUCCUUCAGUAAUGACCAUUUUUUCUUUUUCAAGAUGAUGAUUAUUCCCCACCUUCUAAGAGACAAAGACCAACGAGCCACCACAGCCACCGGUCCCAGAACCCGCCAAUGCUGGGGAACGGAAAAUGAGGGAGUUCAACUCUGGCCCUCACAAUCCAGUGGAGGAGACGAAACUCAGCUGCCUCUGUCCCUCUGGGCACGCCUCAUGCCAGGUGCAUCUGUGGACAGGGGCCAUGCUCCUGGGCUUCCAAAGUUGGAGAAAGCUGCCAGGCUCAGGUCUGAAGGCCAGAAUUCUACAGUAAGUCCUACUCAGUCAAGGUGGGAGCAGGGUCAGUGGCUUCCGAGGCUCUGCGGGAGAAUCCGUUUCCUGGCCGUGGAGGUGGCCUGCACUCCUCAGCUUGUGCUGCCCGUCUCGAAUGACUGGAGUUUCCUGCUUCUGUCACUACACCUCCCACCCUCUCCAUCACCUGCUCUGCUCUUAUAAGGAUCCGAAGAAAUGGAAUAAUCGUAUCGCUGAUCUACGUAAACAAAUUGAAGAAUUGUCUGAAAGAAAAUAUGUUAUGUCUAAACUGGAAAAGUCCUGUAAUCUUAUGUUCAUGGGCUUUUACACAAUGGAGUUACUGUUCAUCAUGGGGGUACCGUGGACAAGCCCAGAGCUGCCGGCGAGUCAUGCCAUCCUUACACGUUUCUCCUUGGAAGACGUGAACUUAUGAAUUCAACAGGUGAAGAUUUACAACUUGAUAAAUCAGCUUCAUGAGAGCCACCUGAGCUGAAGAUUCCCUUGAGAACAAGUACUGUCCUGUGGUUUCAUGGCCUUUCUUCCAUUUGUGGUUCUUGCGAAGUGGAAUUUAAAUGACAUCUUAUCAAGAUGGAUAAACCCUAGUUUCCCAGUGCUGGAAUAUAGAAAAUGGAUGGACAAGUAAAUCCCACUCAGCACCCAUAGUCCAGGCAUGGGGACCUCAACACACCUGAGCCCCAGACAUCACCUU